RNAcentral lists this ribosomal RNA (445 nucleotides) under uncultured bacterium. RNAcentral's name for it is "partial 16S ribosomal RNA". It matches the Rfam family "Bacterial small subunit ribosomal RNA", at positions 354 to 796 of the family's 1533-position model. The record is from RNAcentral.
GUAAGGAAUAUUGGUCAAUGGAGGCAACUCUGAACCAGCCAUGCCGCGUGCAGGAAGACGGCCCUCUGGGUUGUAAACUGCUUUUAUCCGGGAAUAAACCUGCCUUCGUGAAGGUAGCUGAAUGUACCGGAAGAAUAAGGAUCGGCUAACUCCGUGCCAGCAGCCGCGGUAAUACGGAGGAUCCAAGCGUUAUCCGGAUUUAUUGGGUUUAAAGGGUGCGUAGGCGGCCUGUUAAGUCAGGGGUGAAAGACGGUGGCUCAACCAUCGCAGUGCCCUUGAUACUGAUGGGCUUGAAUGGACUAGAGGUAGGCGGAAUGUGACAAGUAGCGGUGAAAUGCAUAGAUAUGUCACAGAACACCGAUUGCGAAGGCAGCUUACUAUGGUCCUAUUGACGCUGAGGCACGAAAGCGUGGGGAUCGAACAGGAUUAGAAACCCCGGUAGUCC